UUUUCAAUUUAUCUAUAAUAAUAUAUAUUUUUUUUGAAUUGCAAUAGCAUUUGCAUUAUCAAGGCCCAUAGGGCAAACUUACAUAAAAUGGGCCUACGAUCAAAACAUAAGAAAAGAGACCUAAAACGAGCUCAGUACAAACCCAACACAAACCUGCAUGAAACUUAGCCCAGCUCUUACCCAAAAACCCUAAGCAUGUAGGAAAACAAACCACCCUUUUCACUGCAGUGCUGCCGACAUGAAGGAGAGGACCCAGCCACCUACUCAAAAAGCAGUGCCUCACCUAUGUUUGUACACCAUCAACAGUCAGGAGAGUGACAUCGUAGAGCUCAUCGGCCUUCCAAUCU
Molecule: unclassified non-coding RNA, 347 nt
Filed under: Hevea brasiliensis (rubber tree)
Lineage: Eukaryota; Viridiplantae; Streptophyta; Magnoliopsida; Malpighiales; Euphorbiaceae
Source: RNAcentral